This 496-nucleotide ribosomal RNA is filed under the name uncultured bacterium. RNAcentral's name for it is "partial 16S ribosomal RNA". It matches the Rfam family "Bacterial small subunit ribosomal RNA", at positions 29 to 507 of the family's 1533-position model. The record is from RNAcentral.
ACGAACGCUGGCGGCGUGCCUAAUACAUGCAAGUAGAACGCUGAAGAGAGGAGCUUGCUCUUCUUGGAUGAGUUGCGAACGGGUGAGUAACGCGUAGGUAACCUGCCUUGUAGCGGGGGAUAACUAUUGGAAACGAUAGCUAAUACCGCAUAACAAUGGAUGACACAUGUCAUUUAUUUGAAAGGGGCAAUUGCUCCACUACAAGAUGGACCUGCGUUGUAUUAGCUAGUAGGUGAGGUAAUGGCUCACCUAGGCGACGAUACAUAGCCGACCUGAGAGGGUGAUCGGCCACACUGGGACUGAGACACGGCCCAGACUCCUACGGGAGGCAGCAGUAGGGAAUCUUCGGCAAUGGGGGCAACCCUGACCGAGCAACGCCGCGUGAGGGAAGAAGGUUUUCGGAUCGUAAAGCUCUGUUGUAAGUCAAGAACGGGUGUGAGAGUGGAAAGUUCACACUGUGACGGUAGCUUACCAGAAAGGGACGGCUAACUACGUG